Schistosoma haematobium is the source of this 78-nucleotide non-coding RNA. Lineage: Eukaryota; Metazoa; Platyhelminthes; Trematoda; Strigeidida; Schistosomatidae. The record is from Rfam.
AGCCUUCUGUAUCCGUGCUGAGAUUUUGUCAUACACCAGACCACAAGGGCUGAUAAGACUCUGAAGAUAAAUGAAGCG